AGGAGAGCUCCAGAGGACACUGUGAACGAUCUUGUGCAUUUUGGCAUAUGCUCAAGUCAAAAGCUAAAUCUCUACUACUUAAAAAGAAGGAACAUGUUCCCCCUUCUCCUCUAUUUUCGUCGUCCUUCUGAUCGUUCGCUGUUCUUUUUUAUCCCCUCCCGCAUCGCUUGCAUCCAAAAUCCAAAUGGGCCAAGCCAAACGGAUCUAGUAAGGAGUCCACUCCAUCCCAACCCCCCGACUCCCUUGCCCCCGCCGCCGAUGCAGGGAACGCCCGGCUUCUCAGCCAUCAUCGCGACGGCAACCUCUCCCAUGAUGACGGAGUGAUGGCCAUGAACCGGGCGCUGGACAUGGAGUGCAGUUGUCGGCUGGAUCCUGCUGCUCACCACAUCCCCGCUUGAGAUCUCGGUGCCCCUAGGUGGUCGUCGCCAAGGACAAGGUGGAUGCUAUGCGAAGAUGGCCAUUGGCCUCCACCCCCGCAGCUCAUCGACAAGGCCAAUGCGAGGGGGCGCUCAGCUUCUUCCUCACCCGCCUCACCUCCCAGUUCGCAGACUCCCAGGAGGCUUGGCGUAGGGCACUCACUGCGGUCGUCCGGAAGCAUCGGAGUGGUCGGAGGUCAGCCAGAGCAGGAAGAAGACUACGUCCUUCCUUGGCCGAGCGGGUGACGGCGAGUGAUCUGCGGAGGCCUCCGUCGGACUCCUGCGUGUGGUUGCGGACGGAGGCGUCGAGAGGGCUGAUACGCGUACAGCACGCGUCCGUUGGGAACCCCAAGAGGAGGGUGUGAUGCGUACAGCGGCAAGUUUUCCCUCAGUAUGAAACCAAGGUUUAAUCAAACCAGUAGGAGCCAAGAAGCACGUUGAAGGUUGAUGGCGGCGAGAUGUAGUGCGGCGCAACACCAGGGAUUCCGGCGCCAACGUGGAACCUGCACAACACAAACCAAGUACUUUGCCCCAACGAAACAGUGAGGUUGUCAAUCUCACCGGCUUGCUGUGACAAAGGAUUAGAUGUAUAGUGUGGAUGAUGAUUGUUUGCAGAAAACAGUAGAACAAGUAUUGCAGUAGAUUGUAUUUCAGUAUAGAGAAUUGGACCGGGAUCCACAGUUCACUA
Lolium perenne is the source of this 1104-nucleotide long non-coding RNA. RefSeq lists it as uncharacterized. The record is from RefSeq and is a predicted model, not a curated record. NCBI's taxonomy places the organism in Eukaryota, Viridiplantae, Streptophyta, Magnoliopsida, Poales, Poaceae.